UACGUAGGUGGCGAGCGUUGUCCGGAUUUACUGGGCGUAAAGAGCGCGCAGGCGGUCGUUCAAGUCGCGUGUGAAAGCCCCCGGCUCAACUGGGGAGGGUCACGCGAUACUGAUCGACUCGAAGGCAGGAGAGGGAAGUGGAAUUCCCGGUGUAGUGGUGAAAUGCGUAGAUAUCAGGAGGAACACCAAUGGCGAAGGCAGCACUCUGGGACGUGACUGACGCUGAGACGCGAAAGCGUGGGGAGCAAACAGG
Molecule: ribosomal RNA, 253 nt
Filed under: uncultured bacterium
Lineage: Bacteria
Description: partial 16S ribosomal RNA
Rfam family: Bacterial small subunit ribosomal RNA
Source: RNAcentral